GUUUAUCCCUUGCUUUGUGUUCCUUCCGGAUGGAGACAUUCUCACUGGAGACUCAGAGGGGAACAUUCUCACCUGGGGGCGGAGCCCUUCAGAUUCCAAGACCCCGGGCAGGGGUGGGGCCAAAGAGACCUAUGGGAUUGUGGCCCAGGCUCACGCUCAUGAAGGUUCUAUCUUCGCCUUGUGUCUCCGGCGGGACGGGACAGUGCUGAGUGGUGGCGGGCGGGACCGCCGGCUGGUACAGUGGGGGCCCGGGUUGGUGGCCCUCCAGGAGGCUGAGAUUCCUGAGCACUUUGGGGCCGUGCGAGCCAUUGCUGAAGGGCUUGGCUCUGAGCUGCUGGUGGGAACCACGAAGAAUGCAUUGCUGAGGGGAGAUCUGGCCCAGGGCUUCUCCCCUGUAAUCCAGGGCCACACUGAUGAGCUGUGGGGGCUCUGCACACACCCCUCCCAGAACCGCUUCCUCACCUGCGGCCACGACCGGCAGCUCUGCCUGUGGGAUGGGGAGAGCCACGCGCUGGCCUGGAGCAUCGACCUCAAGGUAGAGCCCUGUGCCCCUGGAUCCCCCAUGCCACACCCACCAGGAC
RNAcentral lists this small RNA (581 nucleotides) under Pongo abelii (Sumatran orangutan). RNAcentral describes it as "retained intron". The record is from RNAcentral. Lineage: Eukaryota; Metazoa; Chordata; Mammalia; Primates; Hominidae.